CGCGGGGUGGACGAACGGUACGUCGGAGGGCUCAUAAUCCUCAGUAGCGGGUUCAAUUCCCGCCCCCGCAA
RNAcentral lists this transfer RNA (71 nucleotides) under Candidatus Wolfebacteria bacterium. RNAcentral describes it as "tRNA-Met". It matches the Rfam family "tRNA". Rfam says of the family: Transfer RNA (tRNA) molecules are approximately 80 nucleotides in length. Their secondary structure includes four short double-helical elements and three loops (D, anti-codon, and T loops). Lineage: Bacteria; Candidatus Wolfeibacteriota. The record is from RNAcentral.